UACGUAGGGUGCAAGCGUUGUCCGGAAUUAUUGGGCGUAAAGAGCUCGUAGGCGGUUUGUUGCGUCGGCUGUGAAAUCCCGAGGCUCAACCUCGGGUCUGCAGUCGAUACGAGCAAACUAGAGUGUUGCAGGGGAGACUGGAAUUCCUGGUGUAGCGGUGGAAUGCGCAGAUAUCAGGAGGAACACCAAUGGCGAAGGCAGCACUCUGGGACGUGACUGACGCUGAGACGCGAAAGCGUGGGGAGCAAACAGG
RNAcentral lists this ribosomal RNA (253 nucleotides) under uncultured bacterium. RNAcentral describes it as "partial 16S ribosomal RNA". It matches the Rfam family "Bacterial small subunit ribosomal RNA", at positions 524 to 776 of the family's 1533-position model. The record is from RNAcentral.